RNAcentral lists this ribosomal RNA (484 nucleotides) under uncultured bacterium. Its description in RNAcentral is "partial 16S ribosomal RNA". It matches the Rfam family "Bacterial small subunit ribosomal RNA", at positions 30 to 507 of the family's 1533-position model. The record is from RNAcentral.
AUUGAACGCUGGCGGAAUGCUUUACACAUGCAAGUCGAGCGGCAGCACGGGGGCAACCCUGGUGGCGAGCGGCGAACGGGUGAGUAACACAUCGGAACAUGCCCAGUCGUGGGGGAUAACACUUCGAAAGAAGUGCUAAUACCGCAUACGUCCUGAGGGAGAAAGCGGGGGAUCGCAAGACCUCGCGCGAUUGGAGUGGCCGAUGUCAGAUUAGCUAGUUGGUGGGGUAAAGGCCUACCAAGGCAACGAUCUGUAGCUGGUCUGAGAGGAUGAUCAGCCACACUGGGACUGAGACACGGCCCAGACUCCUACGGGAGGCAGCAGUGGGGAAUUUUGGACAAUGGGGGCAACCCUGAUCCAGCCAUUCCGCGUGAGUGAAGAAGGCCUUCGGGUUGUAAAGCUCUUUCGGCAGGAACGAAACGGUGAGCUCUAACAUAGCUUGCUAAUGACGGUACUUGAAGAAGAAGCACCGGCUAACUACGUG